This 206-nucleotide ribosomal RNA is filed under the name uncultured Leptotrichia sp. RNAcentral's name for it is "partial 16S ribosomal RNA". It matches the Rfam family "Bacterial small subunit ribosomal RNA", at positions 149 to 355 of the family's 1533-position model. The record is from RNAcentral. Lineage: Bacteria; Fusobacteriati; Fusobacteriota; Fusobacteriia; Fusobacteriales; Leptotrichiaceae.
GAGGGAAACUUCUGAUAAUACUGGAUAAGUUAGUAUAUCGCAUGAUAUGCAAAUGAAAGCUACGGCACUAAAGGAGAGCUUUGCGUCCUAUUAGCUAGUUGGUAAGGUAAGAGCUUACCAAGGCGAUGAUAGGUAGCCGGCCUGAGAGGGUGGGCGGCCACAAGGGGACUGAGAUACGGCCCUUACUCCUACGGGAGGCAGCAGCC